AUACGGAGGGUGCGAGCGUUAAUCGGAAUUACUGGGCGUAAAGCGUACGUAGGCGGUUUGCUAAGUCAGAUGUGAAAGCCCCGGGCUUAACCUGGGAACUGCAUUUGAUACUGGCAGACUAGAGUAUGAUAGAGGGGGGUAGAAUUCCUGGUGUAGCGGUGAAAUGCGUAGAUAUCAGGAGGAAUACCAGUGGCGAAGGCGGCCCCCUGGAUCAAUACUGACGCUGAGGUACGAAAGCGUGGGGAGCGAACAGUAUUAGAAACCCUAGUAGUCC
RNAcentral lists this ribosomal RNA (274 nucleotides) under uncultured bacterium. RNAcentral's name for it is "partial 16S ribosomal RNA". It matches the Rfam family "Bacterial small subunit ribosomal RNA", at positions 523 to 796 of the family's 1533-position model. The record is from RNAcentral.